This is a non-coding RNA of Pan troglodytes (chimpanzee), 46 nucleotides long. NCBI's taxonomy places the organism in Eukaryota, Metazoa, Chordata, Mammalia, Primates, Hominidae. The record is from Rfam.
CUUUCGGUUUUUUUCAAAACCACUCCCUGUUGCCAGAACUCUCCUU